AACAAACGCUGGCGGCGUGCCUAACACAUGCAAGUCGAACGAGAAAGUCGGUUUCGGCCGAUGAGUAAAGUGGCGCACGGGUGAGUAACGCGUGGAUAAUCUACCCUUUAGUCCGGAAUAACUUGCCGAAAGGUGAACUAAUACCGGAUGACAUCCCGGGUUCUCCGGAAACCGGGAUCAAAGAAGGCCUCUGCUUGCAAGCUUUUGCUGAAGGAUGAGUCCGCGUACCAUUAGCUAGUUGGUGGGGUAAUGGCCUACCAAGGUUAUGAUGGUUAGCUGGUCUGAGAGGAUGAUCAGCCACACUGGAACUGAAACACGGUCCAGACUCCUACGGGAGGCAGCAGUGAGGAAUAUUGCGCAAUGGGGGCAACCCUGACGCAGCAACGCCGCGUGAGUGAGGAAGGUUUUCGGACCGUAAAGCUCUGUCGAGCGGGAAGAAAUGUAUCAUGGCUAAUAUCCAUGAUACUUGACGGUACCGCUAAAGGAAGCACCGGCUAACUCCGUG
This 505-nucleotide ribosomal RNA is filed under the name uncultured bacterium. Its description in RNAcentral is "bacterial SSU rRNA". It matches the Rfam family "Bacterial small subunit ribosomal RNA", at positions 29 to 507 of the family's 1533-position model. The record is from RNAcentral.